This 579-nucleotide ribosomal RNA is filed under the name uncultured bacterium. RNAcentral's name for it is "bacterial SSU rRNA". It matches the Rfam family "Bacterial small subunit ribosomal RNA", at positions 327 to 918 of the family's 1533-position model. The record is from RNAcentral.
GGUCGACGAUUCCUACGGGAGGCAGCAGUGGGGAAUUUUCCGCAAUGGGCGAAAGCCUGACGGAGCAAUACCGCGUGAGGGAUGACGGCCUAUGGGUUGUAAACCUCUUUUUUCAGGGAGGAAUAAAAUGACGUGUACCUGAAGAAUAAGCAUCGGCUAACUCCGUGCCAGCAGCCGCGGUAAGACGGGGGAUGCAAGUGUUAUCCGGAAUCACUGGGCGUAAAGCGUCUGUAGGUGGUCUAGCAAGUCAACUGUUAAAUCUUGAGGCUCAACUUCAAAAUCGCAGUCGAAACUGUUAGACUAGAGUAUAGUAGAGGUAAAGGGAAUUUCCAGUGGAGCGGUGAAAUGCGUAGAGAUUGGAAAGAACACCGAUGGCGAAGGCACUUUACUGGGCUAUUACUAACACUCAGAGACGAAAGCUAGGGUAGCAAAUGGGAUUAGAUACCCCAGUAGUCCUAGCCGUAAACAAUGGAUACUAGAUGUUGAACAGAUCGACCUGUGCAGUAUUAAAGCUAACGCGUUAAGUAUCCCGCCUGGGAAGUAUGCUCGCAAGAGUGAAACUCAAAUGAAUUGACGGGG